RNAcentral lists this non-coding RNA (1032 nucleotides) under Trichomonas vaginalis G3. RNAcentral's name for it is "Eukaryotic small subunit ribosomal RNA". It matches the Rfam family "Eukaryotic small subunit ribosomal RNA", at positions 420 to 1607 of the family's 1831-position model. The record is from Rfam by way of RNAcentral. Lineage: Eukaryota; Parabasalia; Trichomonadida; Trichomonadidae.
GGGUAGCAGCAGGCGCGAAACUUUCCCACUUCGAGACUUUCGAGGGAGGUAAUGACCAGUUCCAUUGGUGCCUUUUGGUACUGUGGAUAGGGGUACGGUUUUCCACCGUACCGAAACCUAGCAGAGGGCCAGUCUGGUGCCAGCAGCUGCGGUAAUUCCAGCUCUGCGAGUUUGCUCCCAUAUUGUUGCAGUUAAAACGCCCGUAGUCUGAAUUGGCCAGCAAUGGUCGUACGUAUUUUUACGUUCACUGUGAACAAAUCAGGACGCUUAGAGUAUGGCCACAUGAAUGACUCAGCGCAGUAUGAAGUCUUUGUUUUCUUCCGAAAACAAGCUCAAUGAGAGCCAUCGGGGGUAGAUCUAUCUCAUGACGAGUGGUGGAAUACUUUGACUCAUGAGAGAGAAGCUGAGGCGAAGGCGUCUACCUAGAGGGUUUCUGUCGAUCAAGGGCGAGAGUAGGAGUAUCCAACAGGAUUAGAGACCCUGGUAGUUCCUACCUUAAACGAUGCCGACAGGAGUUUGUCAUUUGUUAAUGGCAGAAUCUUUGGAGAAAUCAUAGUUCUUGGGCUCUGGGGGAACUACGACCGCAAGGCUGAAACUUGAAGGAAUUGACGGAAGGGCACACCAGGGGUGGAGCCUGUGGCUUAAUUUGAAUCAACACGGGGAAACUUACCAGGACCAGAUGUUUUUUAUGACUGACAGGCUUCGGGUCUUUCAGGAUAUUGUUUUUGGUGGUGCAUGGCCGUUGGUGGUGCGUGGGUUGACCUGUCUAGCGUUGAUUCAGCUAACGAGCGAGAUUAUCGCCAAUUAUUUACUUUGCCGAAGUCCUUCGGUUAAAGUUCUAAUUGGGACUCCCUGCGAUUUUAGCAGGUGGAAGAGGGUAGCAAUAACAGGUCCGUGAUGCCCUUUAGAUGCUCUGGGCUGCACGCGUGCUACAAUGUUAGGAUCAAUAGGACUGCGAGCCUGAGAGGGUGCGCUACUCUUAUAAUCCCUAACGUAGUUGGGAUUGACGUUUGUAAUCAGCGUCAGAACCAG